RNAcentral lists this ribosomal RNA (158 nucleotides) under Acremonium polychromum. Its description in RNAcentral is "Gliomastix polychroma partial large subunit ribosomal RNA". It matches the Rfam family "Eukaryotic large subunit ribosomal RNA", at positions 99 to 261 of the family's 3401-position model. Lineage: Eukaryota; Fungi; Ascomycota; Sordariomycetes; Hypocreales; Bionectriaceae. The record is from RNAcentral.
CGGCAACAGCUCAAAUUUGAAAUCUGGCCCCAGGCCCGAGUUGUAAUUUGCAGAGGAUGUUUCUGGCGAGGUGCCUUCCGAGUUCCCUGGAACGGGACGCCAUAGAGGGUGAGAGCCCCGUACGGUUGGUCGCUAAGCCUCUGUGAAACUCCUUCGAC